AUCCUUUUCUGGUUUAUAAUCAUGACUGGGUUCUCAUGUGCUUGUAUGACAUGUGCUUCUUCAAACCUUGUUAUGAUGUGGGCACAUUACCCAUCUGACA
Molecule: non-coding RNA, 100 nt
Organism: Dipodomys ordii (Ord's kangaroo rat)
Lineage: Eukaryota; Metazoa; Chordata; Mammalia; Rodentia; Heteromyidae
Source: Rfam